This 274-nucleotide ribosomal RNA is filed under the name uncultured bacterium. RNAcentral describes it as "partial 16S ribosomal RNA". It matches the Rfam family "Bacterial small subunit ribosomal RNA", at positions 523 to 796 of the family's 1533-position model. The record is from RNAcentral.
AUACGGAGGGGGCAAGCGUUAUUCGGAAUUAUUGGGCGUAAAGGGCGCGUAGGCGGCCUGAUAAGUCAGGGGUGAAAUCCCUCGGCUCAACCGAGGAACUGCCCUUGAAACUGUCAGGCUUGAGGCCGGGAGAGGGUGGUGGAAUUCCCAGUGUAGCGGUGAAAUGCGUAGAUAUUGGGAGGAACACCAGUGGCGAAGGCGGCCACCUGGACCGGUUCUGACGCUGAGGCGCGAAAGCGUGGGGAGCAAACGGGAUUAGAAACCCCGGUAGUCC